This 253-nucleotide ribosomal RNA is filed under the name uncultured bacterium. RNAcentral's name for it is "partial 16S ribosomal RNA". It matches the Rfam family "Bacterial small subunit ribosomal RNA", at positions 524 to 776 of the family's 1533-position model. The record is from RNAcentral.
GACGGAGGAUGCAAGCGUUAUCCGGAAUUAUUGGGCGUAAAGCGUCCGCAGGUGGCUGUUCAAGUCUGCUGUCAAAGCGCAGAGCUUAACUCUGUACAGGCGGUGGAAACUGAAGAGCUAGAGUAUGGUAGGGGUAGAGGGAAUUCCUGGUGUAGCGGUGAAAUGCGUAGAGAUCAGGAAGAACAUCGGUGGCGAAGGCGCUCUGCUGGACCAUAACUGACACUCAGGGACGAAAGCUAGGGGAGCGAAUGGG